Non-coding RNA from Cinara cedri, 232 nucleotides. Lineage: Eukaryota; Metazoa; Arthropoda; Insecta; Hemiptera; Aphididae. The record is from the annotation of a GenBank genome assembly.
UUUCAAUAUUGAACAAAAAGUAUAAUUUAUUAAAAUUUAUAUUUAAAUUGGGUAUUUUGCAAUAUUACAUAUCUCCAUCUAACAUAACUUAUUGUUCAAUAAAUAUUUUCAGUAAAUUUAAGUAGACAAUUUGAAAAUUGAAAGUCUUUAACAUAAAUUAUUAUAUUUUAUUCGUUUAUAUUAUUUAAUUAAACCAAAUUUAAGUAUGAGUAUUGAAACCAAAAUUAUAGCA